Molecule: ribosomal RNA, 545 nt
Filed under: uncultured bacterium
Lineage: Bacteria
Description: bacterial SSU rRNA
Rfam family: Bacterial small subunit ribosomal RNA
Source: RNAcentral
UGGGGAAUAUUGGGCAAUGGGCGAAAGCCUGACCCAGCAACGCCGCGUGGAGGAUGAAUGCCGUAAGGUUGUAAACUCCUGUUAGAGGGGAAGAAUAAUCCCGAUCGACUCGGGACAUGACUGUACCCUCAGAGAAAGCUCCGGCUAACUCCGUGCCAGCAGCCGCGGUAAUACGGGGGGAGCAAGCGUUGUUCGGAAUCACUGGGCGUAAAGGGCGUGUAGGCUGCACGGUAAGUGAGAUGUGAAAUCCCUCGGCUCACCCGAGGAAGUGCAUCUCAAACUGCCGCGCUUGAGUACGGGAGAGGAUGUGGGAAUUCCUGGUGUAGCGGUGAAAUGCGUAGAUAUCAGGAGGAACACCGGUGGCGAAGGCGCACAUCUGGCCCGAUACUGGCGCUGAGGCGCGAAAGCUAGGGUAGCAAACGGGAUUAGAUACCCCGGUAGUCCUAGCCGUAAACGGUGAUCACUAGGUGUUGGGGGCGUUGACCCCUUCAGUGCCGCAGCUAACGCAUUAAGUGAUCCGCCUGGGGAGUACGGCCGCAAGGCUG